This 253-nucleotide ribosomal RNA is filed under the name uncultured bacterium. RNAcentral describes it as "partial 16S ribosomal RNA". It matches the Rfam family "Bacterial small subunit ribosomal RNA", at positions 524 to 776 of the family's 1533-position model. The record is from RNAcentral.
UACGUAGGGGGCAAGCGUUGUCCGGAUUUAUUGGGCGUAAAGAGCGUGUAGGCGGUUUUACAGGUCCGCUGUGAAAACUCGAGGCUCAACCUCGGGCCUGCAGUGGGUACGGGCAGACUAGAGUGCGGUAGGGGAGAUUGGAAUUCCUGGUGUAGCGGUGAAAUGCGCAGAUAUCAGGAGGAACACCGAUGGCGAAGGCAGGUCUCUGGGCCACUACUGACGCUGAGAAGCGAAAGCAUGGGGAGCGAACAGG